RNAcentral lists this ribosomal RNA (486 nucleotides) under uncultured bacterium. RNAcentral describes it as "partial 16S ribosomal RNA". It matches the Rfam family "Bacterial small subunit ribosomal RNA", at positions 998 to 1482 of the family's 1533-position model. The record is from RNAcentral.
UAUGAGAGAUGAGGUGUUCCUUUGGGGGGCUGUGACACAGGGGGCACAUGUGUGUUCUCAUCUUGUGUUGAGAGAUUGGGGGAAAACUCCCACAGAGAGCGCACCCCUUCUCAUUAGUCCCCCACAAAAAGGGGCGCUCUAAAAAGAGACCCGGGGUGACACCGGGGGGGGAGGGGGGGAAGGUCACGUGUUCUCACCCCCUAUAUCCCGGGGGACACACACGUGUUACACAAGGGGGGGCACAGAGAAAAGAGCCCCUGAAGACACAAGGGUAUCUGAAAAACCUUUUCACUUUUGGGAGUACAGGGCACAUCUCGCACACAAAAAGGGGAUAUCUAGAGAUAUCGCAUAUCCGCACGGCGGGGAGAAUGUUUUCCCGCCCCUUGCACACACCCCCCGUCACCACAAGAGAGUGUGACACCCAAGAAGCGGUGGGAUAUCCUUUAAAGGAGUCAGCCGUCUAAGGUAGGACAGAUGAUUAGGGUG